Molecule: transfer-messenger RNA, 359 nt
Filed under: uncultured Eubacterium sp.
Lineage: Bacteria; Bacillati; Bacillota; Clostridia; Eubacteriales; Eubacteriaceae
Rfam family: transfer-messenger RNA
About the family: Bacterial tmRNA, also known as 10Sa RNA or SsrA, is named for its dual tRNA and mRNA-like properties. Its role is to liberate the mRNA from a stalled ribosome. To accomplish this part of the tmRNA is used as a reading frame that ends in a translation stop signal.
Source: RNAcentral
GGGGAUGUAAAGGUUUCGACGGGGGUAUAGAAACUUCAUAAGCGGGCCGCAGUCGCCAAGUCUGCGUUAAAAAUGGCAACUUUAAAUUUAAACGCUAACAAUAAUAAUAGCAAUUUAGCACUGGCUGCCUAGUUCAGCCUGCUUGUCAUCUCCGGCUCACCUGCAGACCGGAACCAUGGCAUCGACUCAUGCAGGAAAACUUAUCUGAACGUCCCUGAUCAGAUAAGGAACUAAGGGAUAGCGAAAUCGCCAGUCUGCUGAUGGACGGACGAUGGGGCGAAUCAUAAAACACCAGCUGCGCCCGGAGAAAAUGAGGCGGAAAUGUUUUCGGACAGGAGUUCGAUUCUCCUCAUCUCCAU